Molecule: long non-coding RNA, 279 nt
Filed under: Monodelphis domestica (gray short-tailed opossum)
Lineage: Eukaryota; Metazoa; Chordata; Mammalia; Didelphimorphia; Didelphidae
Description: lncRNA (ENSMODG00000048761.1)
Source: RNAcentral
CCUUUCUCCCUCUCCCCACUAAAGAAAACAUCAUUUGACAUAAAUGAUAUGUGUGUAUAUAAAAGUCUUUUUUACUGAUUUCUAUUUAUCUUUUUCUAGAGUUGGAUAUAUACAAGUCAUUCUUGAAGCAAUAUUCCUAUGCUGUAUAUGAUGUUCUCUUGGUUCUACUCGUUUCCAUCAUCAAAAUUUCAAGCCACUCCCAAUAAGAAAACACCUUCUACCAAUGAAGACCUGCUCUGCAACUUACAGUCAUGGAAUAAAAUAAAUUAUUUGAGAGAA